RNAcentral lists this ribosomal RNA (223 nucleotides) under uncultured bacterium. RNAcentral's name for it is "partial 16S ribosomal RNA". It matches the Rfam family "Bacterial small subunit ribosomal RNA", at positions 111 to 334 of the family's 1533-position model. The record is from RNAcentral.
UAACGCGUGAGUAACCUGCCUCUAAGAGGGGAAUAACAUUCUGAAAAGAAUGCUAAUACCGCAUAACAUAUAUUUAUCGCAUGGUAGAUAUAUCAAAGAUUUAUCGCUUAGAGAUGGACUCGCGUCCGAUUAGUUAGUUGGUGAGGUAACGGCUCACCAAGACUGCGAUCGGUAGCCGGACUGAGAGGUUGAACGGCCACAUUGGGACUGAGACACGGCCCAG